GGGGGCCCGCACAAGCGGUGGAGCAUGUGGUUUAAUUCGAUGCAACGCGAAGAACCUUACCUGGUCUUGACAUCCACGGAAGUUUUCAGAGAUGAGAAUGUGCCUUCGGGAACCGUGAGACAGGUGCUGCAUGGCUGUCGUCAGCUCGUGUUGUGAAAUGUUGGGUUAAGUCCCGCAACGAGCGCAACCCUUAUCCUUUGUUGCCAGCGGUCCGGCCGGGAACUCAAAGGAGACUGCCAGUGAUAAACUGGAGGAAGGUGGGGAUGACGUCAAGUCAUCAUGGCCCUUACGACCAGGGCUACACACGUGCUACAAUGGCGCAUACAAAGAGAAGCGACCUCGCGAGAGCAAGCGGACCUCAUAAAGUGCGUCGUAGUCCGGAUUGGAGUCUGCAACUCGACUCCAUGAAGUCGGAAUCGCUAGUAAUCGUGGAUCAGAAUGCCACGGUGAAUACGUUCCCGGGCCUUGUACACACCGCCCGUCACACCAUGGGAGUGGGUUGCAAAAGAAGUAGGUAGCUUAACCUUCGGGAGGGCGCUUACCACUUUGUGAUUCAUGACUGGGGUGAAGUCGUAACAAGGUAACCGUAGGGGAACCUGCGGUUGGAUCACCUCCUUACCUUAAAGAA
RNAcentral lists this ribosomal RNA (628 nucleotides) under Escherichia coli. Its description in RNAcentral is "bacterial SSU rRNA". It matches the Rfam family "Bacterial small subunit ribosomal RNA", at positions 915 to 1533 of the family's 1533-position model. The record is from RNAcentral. Lineage: Bacteria; Pseudomonadati; Pseudomonadota; Gammaproteobacteria; Enterobacterales; Enterobacteriaceae.